CCUACGGGAGGCAGCAGUGAGGAAUAUUGGUCAAUGGACGAGAGUCUGAACCAGCCAAGCCGCGUGAAGGAUGAAUGCCCUAUGGGUUGUAAACUUCUUUUAUAAAGGAAUAAAACGAGGCACGUGUGCCUUUUUGCAUGUACUUUAUGAAUAAGGAUCGGCUCACUCCGUGCCAGCAGCCGCGGUAAUACGGAGGAUCCGAACGUUAUCCGGAUUUAUUGGGGUUAAAGGGAGCGUAGAUGGGUUGUUAAAGCAGUUGUGAAAGUUUUCGGCUCAACCGUAAAAGUGCAAUUGAUACUGGCAGCCUUGAGUACAGUUGAGGUAGGCGGAAUGCGUGGUGUAGCGGGGAAAUACUUAGAUAUCACGGAGAACUCCGAAUGCGAGGGCAGCUUACUAAACUGCCACUGACAUUGAGGCUCGAAAGUGUGGGUAUCAAACAGGAUUAGAUACCCCAGUAGUC
Molecule: ribosomal RNA, 460 nt
Filed under: uncultured bacterium
Lineage: Bacteria
Description: partial 16S ribosomal RNA
Rfam family: Bacterial small subunit ribosomal RNA
Source: RNAcentral